Molecule: ribosomal RNA, 481 nt
Filed under: uncultured Bacillus sp.
Lineage: Bacteria; Bacillati; Bacillota; Bacilli; Caryophanales; Bacillaceae
Description: bacterial SSU rRNA
Rfam family: Bacterial small subunit ribosomal RNA
Source: RNAcentral
AGAGUUUGAUCCUGGCUCAGGACGAACGCUGGCGGCGUGCCUAAUACAUGCAAGUCGAGCGAAUCUUUAGGAGCUUGCUCCUGAAGGUUAGCGGCGGACGGGUGAGUAACACGUGGGCAACCUGCCUGUAAGACUGGGAUAACUUCGGGAAACCGGAGCUAAUACCGGAUAAUCCUUUUCCUCUCAUGAGGAAAAGCUGAAAGUCGGUUUCGGCUGACACUUACAGAUGGGCCCGCGGCGCAUUAGCUAGUUGGUGAGGUAACGGCUCACCAAGGCAACGAUGCGUAGCCGACCUGAGAGGGUGAUCGGCCACACUGGGACUGAGACACGGCCCAGACUCCUACGGGAGGCAGCAGUAGGGAAUCUUCCGCAAUGGACGAAAGUCUGACGGAGCAACGCCGCGUGAGCGAUGAAGGCCUUCGGGUCGUAAAGCUCUGUUGUUAGGGAAGAACAAGUAUCGGAGUAACUGCCGGUACCUGAC